GACGAACGCUGGCGGCGUGCUUAACACAUGCAAGUCGAACGGAAAGGCUCCAGCUUGCUGGAGUACUCGAGUGGCGAACGGGUGAGUAACACGUGGGUGAUCUGCCCUGCACUUCGGGAUAAGCCUGGGAAACUGGGUCUAAUACCGGAUAGGACCGCACUUUGGUGUGUGUGGUGGAAAGGUUUUUCUGGUGUGGGAUGAGCUCGCGGCCUAUCAGUUUGUUGGUGGGGUAAUGGCCUACCAAGACGGCGACGGGUAGCCGGCCUGAGAGGGUGGACGGGCACAUUGGGUCUGAGAUACGGCCCAGACUCCGACGGGAGGCAGCAGUGGGGAAUAUUGCACAAUGGGGGAAACCCUGAUGCAGCGACGCCGCGUGGGGGAUGAAGGCCUUCGGGUUGUAAACUCCUUUCGCUAGGGACGAAGCUUUUUGUGACGGUACCUGGAGAAGAAGCACCGGCUAACUACGUG
This 468-nucleotide ribosomal RNA is filed under the name uncultured bacterium. RNAcentral describes it as "partial 16S ribosomal RNA". It matches the Rfam family "Bacterial small subunit ribosomal RNA", at positions 28 to 507 of the family's 1533-position model. The record is from RNAcentral.